RNAcentral lists this long non-coding RNA (1232 nucleotides) under Strigops habroptila (Kakapo). RNAcentral describes it as "lncRNA (ENSSHBG00005010827.1)". Lineage: Eukaryota; Metazoa; Chordata; Aves; Psittaciformes; Psittacidae. The record is from RNAcentral.
CAGCUUACUUGUUUAUUACUCUUAAUAGUCAGCAUGAAUUGGUUAUGAGCCAGCUUGUGCCCAGGCAGCCAAGGCGGCCACCAGCAUCCUCAUCUGUAUCAGCACCAGUGCAGCAGCAGGGCCAGGGCAGUGACUGUCCACCUGCACUGGGCACUGGUGAGGCUGCGCCUCAAAUCCUGUGUCAGUUCUGGGCCCCUCCCUACAAGAGAGACAUUGAGGUGCUGGAGCGGGGCCAGAGAAGGGCACCGGAGCUGGUGCAGGGCCUGGAGCACAAGUGUGAUGAGGAACGGCUGAGGGACCUGGGGGGUUUAGUCUGGAGAAGAGAAGGCUCAGGGGGGACCUGAUCGCUCUCUGCAACUGCCUGACAGGAGGAUGGAGCCAGGAGGGGCUGGUCUCUGCUCCCAAGGAACAAGGGAUGGGACAAGAGGAAACGGCCUCAAGUUGCAGCAGGGCAGGUUUAGAUGGAGAUGAGGAACAAUUCCUUCCCCAGAGGGUGCUCAGGCAUUGGAACAGGCUGCCCAGGGCAGGGCUGGAGUCACCGGCCCUGCAAGUGUUCACACCCCGUGUAGCCGAGGCCUCAGUGCCAUGGGUUAGUGGUGGCCUUGGCAGUGCUGGGGAACGUUUGCACUUGAUGAUCUUAAAGGUCUUUUCCAACGUGGUUGAUUCUAUGAUUCCAUUACCUGCCAGCAGCACAUCCCAUCACUGAGGUGCUCUUUGUUUUGCACAUACACACAUGGUGCACGUCCCCACAUGGGCAGAGCUGUGUGAUCUCCCCACUGCCGUCCUCUGCCUCUGAUUCCCACUUCCCUCCCUCCUCUCAGAAGACGCAGGCAGCCAAGCGGCCCCGGCAGAGCCCAGCCCUCUGCCAGCACAGCAGCCUGCUGAAGCUCUGGCGUAAGAUCGACGAGGACCACAGCGACAGACAGCUCUUCCACCACACCAAGUGCACCUGCUCGUCUCUGUGGAACACCGGACACGACCCGGGGGCAGGCACUGAGUUCUGUGCGCUCUGUUACCUCAGCGCCCGGCGGCGGCGGGCGAGGCAGAGAGCAGCCAUGGAAGCCAGGCGACGAUCGUGGCUGGACGACAGCACCACAGGCCUGUGAAUGCCGUGGUCUUGAGCCGGGUCUGCUGUAUGAAACGCGAAAUAAAAGCAAGUAAAAGCAGCUUUAUCGCCUCUUCCCGCCCCACACGGCGCCGCCGCCUUCCCUGAGGUACCGGCCGCCCCUUCC